This 303-nucleotide ribosomal RNA is filed under the name uncultured bacterium. Its description in RNAcentral is "partial 16S ribosomal RNA". It matches the Rfam family "Bacterial small subunit ribosomal RNA", at positions 507 to 807 of the family's 1533-position model. The record is from RNAcentral.
AGCAGCCGCCGCGGUAACACAGAGGGUGCGAGCGUUAAUCGGAUUUACUGGGCGUAAAGCGUGCGUAGGCGGCUUCUUAAGUCGGAUGUGAAAUCCCUGAGCUUAACUUAGGAAUUGCAUUCGAUACUGGGAAGCUAGAGUAUGGGAGAGGAUGGUAGAAUUCCAGGUGUAGCGGUGAAAUGCGUAGAGAUCUGGAGGAAUACCGAUGGCGAAGGCAGCCAUCUGGCCUAAUACUGACGCUGAGGUACGAAAGCAUGGGGAGCAAACAGGAUUAGAUACCCGAGUAGUCCCUGUCUCUUAUAC